Molecule: small nuclear RNA, 114 nt
Organism: Gopherus evgoodei (Goodes thornscrub tortoise)
Lineage: Eukaryota; Metazoa; Chordata; Testudines; Testudinidae
Source: Ensembl
GUCCUGGGCAGCACAUAUACUAAAAUUGGAAUGAUACAGAGAAGAUUAGCAUGGCCCCUGCACAAGGAUGACACGCAAAUCCGAGUCCUGGGAGCCUGUGCACACCAGCUCUUU